UACAGAGGUCUCAAGCGUUGUUCGGAUUCAUUGGGCGUAAAGCGCGCGCAGGUGGUUUCUUAAGUCUGAUGUGAAAGCCCACGGCUCAACCGUGGAGGGUCAUUGGAAACUGGGGAACUUGAGUGCAGGAGAGAAGAGUGGAAUUCCACGUGUAGCGGUGAAAUGCGUAGAGAUGUGGAGGAACACCAGUGGCGAAGGCGACUCUUUGGCCUGUAACUGACACUGAGGCGCGAAAGCGUGGGGAGCAAACAGG
This 253-nucleotide ribosomal RNA is filed under the name uncultured bacterium. RNAcentral describes it as "partial 16S ribosomal RNA". It matches the Rfam family "Bacterial small subunit ribosomal RNA", at positions 524 to 776 of the family's 1533-position model. The record is from RNAcentral.